This 441-nucleotide ribosomal RNA is filed under the name uncultured bacterium. Its description in RNAcentral is "partial 16S ribosomal RNA". It matches the Rfam family "Bacterial small subunit ribosomal RNA", at positions 338 to 795 of the family's 1533-position model. The record is from RNAcentral.
CCUACGGGGGGCAGCAGUGGGGGAUAUUGCACAAUGGGGGAAACCCUGAUGCAGCGACGCCGCGUGGGUGAAGAAGUAUUUCGGUAUGUAAAGCCCUAUCAGCAGGGAAGAAAGAAGACGGUACCUGACUAAGAAGCCCCGGCUAACUACGUGCCAGCAGCCGCGGUAAUACGUAGGGGGCGAGCGUUAUCCGGAUUCACUGGGUGUAAAGGGAGCGUAGACGGCCGGGCAAGCCAGGAGUGAAAGCCCGGGGCCCAACCCCGGGACUGCACUUGGACCUGGGCGGCUGGAGUGCGGGAGGGGCAGGCGGAAUUCGUGGUGUAGCGGUGAAAUGCGUAGAGAUCAGGAGGAACACCGGCGGCGAAGGCGGCCUGCUGGACCGCGACUGACGUUGAGGCUCGAAAGCGUGGGGAGCGAACAGGAUUAGAUACCCGAGUAGUC